GACAACGUGUUCGGGCUUUUUCCCACGGUGCGGAAGUGAUUUUUCGCUCUCUGCGAUGGAUCUUGAUUGUUCUUUGGGUUUACACUACGUUUAUGAGCUGUAAUUUGUUGAUGGUCUGCAGCUUAUCUUUUGAAGUUAGGAAAAACAUGAAUUCUCGGGCAAGAACAAACAACUCCGGAGGCGCCGCCUUAGAAGAUGUAACACUGACUGCCAAGGUUUGCAGUUUCACUCCUGAGCCAGUAGAAGACCAAACCACCAGAAGGAAGAAACUCUAUAACACAUCCGAACGUCAGAGGGAAUGAACUCUGGCUACACCGCAUCUAACGAUUGUAACACUCAUCCGGAGGACUUGUGGCUUUCUUGAAAUCAGUGAGAUCAAGAACCCGCCAAUUCCGGACACAAUGUUUUACGAAUUGUGUGUUAGUAGGAGUUGCUCCUUACAACUGCUAUUUCACAAACAUUUAUUCCUUGAUAUAACCUGCCACCACUAGAAUUGCAGUCACUGAUUCACCAAAAAUAAAUCAAUCAUGUCGUUUUUGCUGAUCUUAACUUGAGGUGCAGCUCAUAUUUUUUUCAAUAUUUAGUGUUAGAAGUGUUUGGAGUCCUUAUUUAGAAAUUUGGUGUUUUUGUGAUCAGACAUUUGCCAAGAAAAUUAACUCUUAAAUCAAUUAGUCUAGUCUAUGGUAGAAUUAGUUUUAUUUUGCUUAAAGUAAUAGUUUCCAAAAACCAACUGACAAUAAGUGAGGACUUCCUAUAUUUUUAUGCUUAGGUUUGAUGAAGUGGAUAGUCCCAUAGCAGUAUAAUUGGAUAAAAGGGGGUAUGAUCUAAUGGUUAUAAACUGGGGUGAACUUAGCAAAGCCUGUUUAUUCAGGUUCUCUUUGGCAUCUCUGUGUCUUCGUUUAUUUCCUCCAAGUACAUUUUCUCCCCUCUGAAUUGACGGUCUUAUCACCUACUUUAAUUGGAAGAUCAGGUAGCUUUCAUGGCCCGCUUCACGGAACAAGGGCCCAGAGAAAAACGUUUCUGCUUCUGCUGUUUUCUCAAAUGCCGAGGUGUCGUAUUUUGGGAGUAGUGUGACCUGAACCCAGUCAAAAGACGUCCGAGUCUUUCUAAUCUCUGGGUCAUAGGGUCGCCUUUGGCCUAUGCAUUGUACGUAUACAGUAUGGCAUUUCGCAUGUCUGUCCACUUCUAGGCGCACAGUCCAACUGGCUUUGACUGGUCAGGAAGGCCAGGCCUGGAUCUGGGGUUGGUACUAUAGGUUAGAUGUUUUCAGGUUUUGAAGGAGAAACAGGUCCCUUAAGGAUGAGAGCGAAUCAGAAGAAGACAGACAAAAAAGGAUUUAGGAUUUGUUCCAGAAGCUCAUUUCUGGAUUGACUGUCGUACCAAGGUUUGGCGAACGGCGGCAAGCGCUUGCCAGUUUGUCGAAGAGUGGAGAGGUCAGUUGUGCCAAGGAGUGGAGAGGUCUAAGAACUCUCCAGGAGCACGGAGGGUUUAUGCAGUCAUAAAUCGCCUUGCUUCUGCAUACUUUUUAUUCCGUGGAGGAUUCCGCCCGGGCGAUGGCGCCAUAAAUGCAGGUGCGUCCUGGCUCUUUUCUCUUCCCAGUGCGCAUCUCGGCGACUCUCACCACCCGAGUCUCAGAGCCCGCGAAACGUAGCGUGCCAGGUUCUCCAUCCCGAGGCUGGGCGCGGGAACCUGCAGGGGCAGUAACUACGACCGGGACAAGCCGAUCUGCAAUUCCCCUCCUGUUUUCUCUGCCCCUUGGACUUAAAUUCCCACGGCGGCGUUUAGGGCUUUCGUUUUAUCUUUCUGCGUUAUGCUCGCGGUUUCCUGGCAACCUUUCCAAGCAGAAUCACCCCAUCACAGACCUUUCUCUGGGGGGCGGCCAGGCAGGACGGCUCCCUUAUAAACCCCGAUAGGUGGUUGUCGAGCGGCCGUCCGAGAGGGUGACCUGCAGCGGGAGAUCCCAGGCCCAGCACGGGACUUUCGAUAUAACAUUCAGUUUUCCUUCUCUCAGCGCAGUCAGGAAACAAUAUCCAGUAUAGCGAAUUCAAAAUUAAGUUCGACAAAAUAUGCUUCUUGGCACGACCGAUAAUAGUAACAGGUCAUAGAAAUAUUUUGGCCCACGUUGAGCGUUGGGGGGUGUAGCUCAGUGGUAGAGCGCGUGCUUAGCAUGCACGAGGCCCCGGGUUCAAUCCCCGGCACCUCCAGCUUCAUUUUUCUCCCGCCUUUUCUCCUAGAUGUGCCUUGUUUGCAAAAUCAUGUCUAUCAUGUCCACGACUCGCCUCAAUUUUUUUUCUUUUGUUUUUGUGGCACUUUCAUUCUCUCUCAAUUCUUCAAAUUCACAUGGAAACCAAGGAAAACAAGCUCCGUUUUGCUUUCAAUAUUGAUGCAUUUCUGCUCUAAGGCUUUGACACCACCCUGGGUGGCUGUGUCAAGAGAUGAAAGACAAAAUGAAAGAGGCCGCGGAAGCACAGACUGGCAGAAUUCCAAAACCCGAAAAACAAGCAAGGCACCAAAUUAACAAGCCCAAUCACAUUGGUUACAUUUCCCAGUAUUAUCGAAGAUCAAGCAAGAAAGAAAAAGACAGAAAACAAAUGCG
This 2596-nucleotide long non-coding RNA is filed under the name Homo sapiens (human). RNAcentral's name for it is "non-protein coding LINC01623:6". The stretch from base 2133 to 2204 matches the Rfam family "tRNA". Lineage: Eukaryota; Metazoa; Chordata; Mammalia; Primates; Hominidae. The record is from RNAcentral.